This 253-nucleotide ribosomal RNA is filed under the name uncultured bacterium. RNAcentral's name for it is "partial 16S ribosomal RNA". It matches the Rfam family "Bacterial small subunit ribosomal RNA", at positions 524 to 776 of the family's 1533-position model. The record is from RNAcentral.
UACGUAGGGUGCAGGCGUUAAUCGGAAUUACUGGGCGUAAAGCGUGCGCAGGCGGUUUCUUAAGUCAGAUGUGAAAGCCCCGGGCUUAACCUGGGAACUGCGUUUGAAACUGGGAGACUUGAGUGUGGCAGAGGGGGGUGGAAUUCCACGUGUAGCAGUGAAAUGCGUAGAUAUGUGGAGGAACACCGAUGGCGAAGGCAGGUCUCUGGGCUGACACUGACGCUCAUGCACGAAAGCGUGGGGAGCAAACAGG